GACGAACGCUGGCGGCGUGCUUAACACAUGCAAGUCGAGCGGUAAGGCCCUUUCGGGGGUACACGAGCGGCGAACGGGUGAGUAACACGUGGGUGACCCGCCCUCAGCUCUGGGAUAAGCCUGGGAAACCGGGUCUAAUACCGGAUAUGACUCCAUGACGCAUGUUGUGGGGUGGAAAGCCUUGUGCGGCUGAGGAUGGGCCCGCGGCCUAUCAGCUUGUUGGUGGGGUGAUGGCCACCAAGGCGACGACGGGUAGCCGGCCUGAGAGGGCGACCGGCCACACUGGGACUGAGACACGGCCCAGACUCCUACGGGAGGCAGCAGUGGGGAAUCUUGCGCAAUGGGCGAAAGCCUGACGCAGCGACGCCGCGUGAGGGAUGACGGCCUGGUUCGUAACUACUUUCAUCUCGACGAGCGACGAGUGGNGGGUACGGAGGACGAGAAGAAGACGACCGGACCGACCGUACG
Molecule: ribosomal RNA, 468 nt
Filed under: uncultured bacterium
Lineage: Bacteria
Description: bacterial SSU rRNA
Rfam family: Bacterial small subunit ribosomal RNA
Source: RNAcentral